RNAcentral lists this ribosomal RNA (33 nucleotides) under Schyzocotyle acheilognathi. Its description in RNAcentral is "partial 18S ribosomal RNA". The record is from RNAcentral. Lineage: Eukaryota; Metazoa; Platyhelminthes; Cestoda; Bothriocephalidea; Bothriocephalidae.
GUUUCCGUAGGUGAACCUGCGGAAGAAUCAUUA